Molecule: ribosomal RNA, 494 nt
Filed under: uncultured bacterium
Lineage: Bacteria
Description: bacterial SSU rRNA
Rfam family: Bacterial small subunit ribosomal RNA
Source: RNAcentral
AAAUGAAUUGACGGGGGCCCGCACAAGUGGUGGAAUAUGUGGUUUAAUUCGAUGCUACGCGAAAAACCUUACCUAGGCUUGACAUCCCGUGCUAACCGAUGAAAGUCGGCGUUUCCUUCGGGAACGCGGAGACAGGUGCUGCAUGGCUGUCGUCAGCUCGUGUUGUGAGAUGUUGGGUUAAGUCCCGCAACGAGCGCAACCCUCUUUCUUAGUUACCAUCAUUAAGUUGGGCACUCUAAGAAUACCGCUUGGCUAUAAGCCAGAGGAAGGUGGGGAUGACGUCAAGUCCUCAUGGCCUUUAUGCCUAGGGCUACACACGUAUUACAAUGGACAACACAAAGCGUCGCAAGCUCGCAAGAUCAAGCUAAUCGCAAAAAAUUGUCCUCAGUUCGGAUUGGAGUCUGCAACUCGACUCCAUGAAGCUGGAAUCACUAGUAAUCGUUGAUCAGCAUGCAACGGUGAAUGCGUUCCCGGGCCUUGUACACACCGCCCGU